This 453-nucleotide ribosomal RNA is filed under the name Delftia tsuruhatensis. RNAcentral's name for it is "bacterial SSU rRNA". It matches the Rfam family "Bacterial small subunit ribosomal RNA", at positions 51 to 501 of the family's 1533-position model. Lineage: Bacteria; Pseudomonadati; Pseudomonadota; Betaproteobacteria; Burkholderiales; Comamonadaceae. The record is from RNAcentral.
ACACAUGCAAGUCGAACGGUAACAGGUCUUCGGACGCUGACGAGUGGCGAACGGGUGAGUAAUACAUCGGAACGUGCCCAGUCGUGGGGGAUAACUACUCGAAAGAGUAGCUAAUACCGCAUACGAUCUGAGGAUGAAAGCGGGGGACCUUCGGGCCUCGCGCGAUUGGAGCGGCCGAUGGCAGAUUAGGUAGUUGGUGGGAUAAAAGCUUACCAAGCCGACGAUCUGUAGCUGGUCUGAGAGGACGACCAGCCACACUGGGACUGAGACACGGCCCAGACUCCUACGGGAGGCAGCAGUGGGGAAUUUUGGACAAUGGGCGAAAGCCUGAUCCAGCAAUGCCGCGUGCAGGAUGAAGGCCUUCGGGUUGUAAACUGCUUUUGUACGGAACGAAAAAGCUCCUUCUAAUACAGGGGGCCCAUGACGGUACCGUAAGAAUAAGCACCGGCUAAC